GUUUGAUCAUGGCUCAGAUAGAACGCUGGCGGCAGGCCUAACACAUGCAAGUCGAGCGGCAGCACGGGAGCUUGCUCCUGGUGGCGAGCGGCGGACGGGUGAGUAACACGUGGGAAUCUACCUAUUGGUGGGGGAUAACUUGGGGAAACUCAAGGUAAUACCGCAUUAUCCCUACGGGGGAAAGCAGGGGACCUUCGGGCCUUGCGCCGAUAGAUGAGCCCGCGUCGGAUUAGCUAGUUGGUAGGGUAAAGGCCUACCAAGGCGACGAUCCGUAGCUGGUCUGAGAGGAUGAUCAGCCACACUGGGACUGAGACACGGCCCAGACUCCUACGGGAGGCAGCAGUGGGGAAUAUUGGACAAUGGGGGAAACCCUGAUCCAGCCAUGCCGCGUGUGUGAAGAAGGCCUUAGGGUUGUAAAGCACUUUCAGUGGGGAGGAAGGCUUCUGGCUAAUAAUCAGGAGUACUUGACGUUACCCACAGAAGAAGCACCGGCUAAUUUCGUGCCAGCAGCCGCGGUAAUACGAAAGGUGCGAGCGUUAAUCGGAAUUACUGGGCGUAAAGCGCGCGUAGGCGGUUUGUUAAGUCUGAUGUGAAAUCCCCGGGCUCAACCUGGGAAUUGCAUCGGAUACUGGCAAGCUAGAAUGCGGUAGAGGGGGUGGAAUUCCAGGUGUAGCGGUGAAAUGCGUAGAGAUCUGGAGGAACACCAGUGGCGAAGGCGGCCCCCUGGACUGACAUUGACGCUGAGGUGCGAAAGCGUGGGGAU
This 763-nucleotide ribosomal RNA is filed under the name uncultured Alcanivorax sp. RNAcentral's name for it is "bacterial SSU rRNA". It matches the Rfam family "Bacterial small subunit ribosomal RNA", at positions 11 to 768 of the family's 1533-position model. Lineage: Bacteria; Pseudomonadati; Pseudomonadota; Gammaproteobacteria; Oceanospirillales; Alcanivoracaceae. The record is from RNAcentral.